GUCCCAGUUCGGAUUGUAGUCUGCAACCCGACUACAUGAAGCUGGAAUCGCUAGUAAUCGCGGAUCAGAAUGCCGCGGUGAAUACGUUCCCGGGUCUUGUACACACCGCCCGUCACACCAUGGGAGUCGGAAAUGCCCGAAGUCUGUGACCCAACCAUUAAGGAGGGAGCAGCCGAAGGCAGGUCGGAUGACUGGGGUGAAGUCGUAACAAGGUACC
Molecule: ribosomal RNA, 217 nt
Filed under: uncultured bacterium
Lineage: Bacteria
Description: partial 16S ribosomal RNA
Rfam family: Bacterial small subunit ribosomal RNA
Source: RNAcentral